This 376-nucleotide ribosomal RNA is filed under the name uncultured bacterium. RNAcentral describes it as "bacterial SSU rRNA". It matches the Rfam family "Bacterial small subunit ribosomal RNA", at positions 524 to 898 of the family's 1533-position model. The record is from RNAcentral.
UACGUAGGUGGCAAGCGUUGUCCGGAUUUACUGGGUGUAAAGGGUGCGUAGACGGGUCAGGAAGUCAGAUGUGAAAUACCGAGGCUCAACCUUGGGGGUGCAUUUGAAACUCUUUAUCUUGAGUGCAGGAGAGGAAAGCGGAAUUCCUAGUGUAGCGGUGAAAUGCGUAGAUAUUAGGAGGAACACCAGUGGCGAAGGCGGCUUUCUGGACUGUAACUGACGUUGAUGCACGAAAGCGUGGGGAGAAAACAGGAUUAGAUACCCUGGUAGUCCACGCCGUAAACGAUGGAUACUAGGUGUGGGAGGUAUCGACCCCUUCCGUGCCGGAGUUAACACAAUAAGUAUCCCACCUGGGGAGUACGACCGCAAGGUUAAA